UACGAAGGGGGCUAGCGUUGCUCGGAAUCACUGGGCGUAAAGGGUGCGUAGGCGGGUCUUUAAGUCAGGGGUGAAAUCCUGGAGCUCAACUCCAGAACUGCCUUUGAUACUGAAGAUCUUGAGUUCGGGAGAGGUGAGUGGAACUGCGAGUGUAGAGGUGAAAUUCGUAGAUAUUCGCAAGAACACCAGUGGCGAAGGCGGCUCACUGGCCCGAUACUGACGCUGAGGCGCGAAGGCUAGGGGAGCGAACGGG
Molecule: ribosomal RNA, 253 nt
Filed under: uncultured bacterium
Lineage: Bacteria
Description: partial 16S ribosomal RNA
Rfam family: Bacterial small subunit ribosomal RNA
Source: RNAcentral